This 481-nucleotide ribosomal RNA is filed under the name uncultured bacterium. Its description in RNAcentral is "partial 16S ribosomal RNA". It matches the Rfam family "Bacterial small subunit ribosomal RNA", at positions 28 to 507 of the family's 1533-position model. The record is from RNAcentral.
GAUGAACGCUGGCGGCGUGCCUAACACAUGCAAGUCGAGCGAAGCACUUACUUUAGAUUUCUUCGGAAUGACGAAGUUUGUGACUGAGCGGCGGACGGGUGAGUAACGCGUGGGCAACCUGCCCUGUACAGGGGGAUAACAGUUAGAAAUGACUGCUAAUACCGCAUAAGCCCACAGCUUCGCAUGAAGCAGUGGGAAAAACUCCGGUGGUACAGGAUGGGCCCGCGUCUGAUUAGCUAGUUGGUAAGGUAACGGCUUACCAAGGCGACGAUCAGUAGCCGACCUGGGAGGGUGACCGGCCACAUUGGGACUGAGACACGGCCCAAACUCCUACGGGAGGCAGCAGUGGGGAAUAUUGCACAAUGGGGGAAACCCUGAUGCAGCGACGCCGCGUGAGCGAUGAAGUAUUUCGGUAUGUAAAGCUCUAUCAGCAGGGAAGAAAGUGACGGUACCUGACUAAGAAGCCCCGGCUAACUACGUG